RNAcentral lists this ribosomal RNA (427 nucleotides) under uncultured Lysobacteraceae bacterium. RNAcentral's name for it is "bacterial SSU rRNA". It matches the Rfam family "Bacterial small subunit ribosomal RNA", at positions 355 to 774 of the family's 1533-position model. The record is from RNAcentral. Lineage: Bacteria; Pseudomonadati; Pseudomonadota; Gammaproteobacteria; Lysobacterales; Lysobacteraceae.
UGGGGAAUAUUGGACAAUGGGGGCAACCCUGAUCCAGCCAUGCCGCGUGGGUGAAGAAGGCCUUCGGGUUGUAAAGCCCUUUUGUACGGGAAGAAAAGCUUGGGGUUAAUAACCUUGAGUCAUGACGGUACCGUAAGAAUAAGCACCGGCUAACUUCGUGCCAGCAGCCGCGGUAAUACGAAGGGUGCAAGCGUUACUCGGAAUUACUGGGCGUAAAGCGUGCGUAGGCGGUGAGUUAAGUCUGAUGUGAAAUCCCCGGGCUCAACCUGGGAAUGGCAUUGGAUACUGGCUCGCUAGAGUACGGUAGAGGGUGGUGGAAUUCCCGGUGUAGCAGUGAAAUGCGUAGAGAUCGGGAGGAACAUCUGUGGCGAAGGCGGCCACCUGGACCAGUACUGACGCUGAGGCACGAAAGCGUGGGGAGCAAACA